Molecule: long non-coding RNA, 821 nt
Filed under: Prunus dulcis (almond)
Lineage: Eukaryota; Viridiplantae; Streptophyta; Magnoliopsida; Rosales; Rosaceae
Description: sRNA ncRNA
Source: RNAcentral
AUGAAUUAAAACAGGCAGAACUCAAAGCAGUUCCUUAGCUUCUUCAUUUUGUUUCUCUAAUUGUCUUAAAAUUCCUCUCGUUCCCUUAUUCCUAUAAACUGGGAAUUCAUAGUUCUAUCGACUAGAAGUUUUGGAUCAAGUGGUAUCUUAAAAUUCAUCUCGUUCCCUUAUUCCUAUAAACUGGGAAUAAGGGAACGAGACCCACCUUUAGCGACCGUUUGCCCAUCUGUCUGUGGAUGAAAUGCAGUGCUUCUUUUCGAUCUAGUAUCCAUCAUUCCCCAUAACGACCUCCAGAAAUGGCCUAAGAAUCGACUGUCUCUGUCAGAAAUAAUUGAUGUAGGUAAGCCAAAAUGCUUCCAAAUAUAUUGGAAAAAUAACUUAGCAGCUCCUUCUCCAGUUACGGUCUUCUUGCAUGGAAUGAGAAUCACCAUCUUACUGAAACGAUCUACCACCACAAACAAGUAGUCAUUUCCAGACUUGAUUUUAGGCAAUCCACCUAAGAAAUCCAUCGAGAUACUCUCCCAAGGUCGAGUAGGUACUGGUAAUGGAAGAUACAGUCCUAACUUCCUGUUGGAAGGCUUCGAUGUGUUGCAUAGAACACAACCUCGAAUGUAUCGUGAAACAUCGAGAUGCAUCUUUGGCCAAUACACAUAACGACGAAGAUUCAAUAAAGUCUUCUCAACUCCAAAAUGCCCUGCUACUUUGGAAGUAUGAGCCUCACGAAUCCACUGCAACCUGUCGCCAUCUUUUGGAAUGCACAAUUGUGUUCCCUUAUACAUUAGUCCAUCUUUCAAUUGAAACUCACUAGUCUUUCCUUGUUG